GCCGCCGCGCGUUCCAGCCGAGACGCCCCAGCCUUGCCGCUCUUGGUUGUUCGGAGCUCCGCCUAUAUAAUGCCUUUAGGGGCGGGGCUCAUCUUCUCCACCGGCUUGCGCACUAAGGCACGUUGCUAGGCGCCUACGUAAACUUUAUGAGGCGAGCUGUGCCGCUCCCAGACGUGGGGCCGCGUGGCCUAAUGGAUAAGGCGUCUGAUUCCGGAUCAGAAGAUUGAGGGUUCGAGUCCCUUCGUGGUCGCUGCGGGUGUUCUGAUUUUUCCUUUUUUUUUUUCCAGUUCAAAAUUUUCCUUUUUCUCUUUAGCAGGGCCUGGGACAUUCCGGGCUGCGUAAACCGCUCGCCCGACACUAUCCUCUUGGGACUGCUCCCGCGGAGCUCGAGAACCCCAGUCUAGGACUGCAGCCGGGGGACCCAAAGCUGGCCGCCGGUGGGCGGACUGCGGACCCCGAAGCCACCGACCGAGAGUCCCGGGAGUGGGCGGGACCCGGGGUCCUGCCCACCACAUUUCUCACCCUCGGAGACGGGGGCCAGGAUCUUAGGGCCAGAGUGGGUGUCGGACCAGGAUCCCCUCUCCCAAGGUGAGCACCUCCGUCCUGGACGCCCUUGUACCACAGCAGCCCCCCGGGACCUCGCAGGCCUGAGAGGCCCAGGUCUUGGAAAGGCUCCAGGCAGGGCAGCUGCGAUGACUGAUGGAUGAAAAUUGGGGCCAUCUCUUUAGACUUUGGCAUGGCCUUUGAUCUAUCAAUUCCAUUUGAGGAACAUUUCCUGAAGACCUACCCUUAGGUCCUCAAAGACGUGCAGGGGCAAAGGCUGGAAACAAAUGGCAUGUUCGCUUAGUGAAGUAUAAUUCAGAGGAUGGAAGCUGACAAGGAGCUGCGAUGGGGGGGGUGGGGUUGUCCCAAGGAGGGUCAAAGGACAAGUGCAUUUAAAAUCUAAUAGAUUAUUUAGAUUGCUUGCAACGAGAACGUACCCUUGAAUUGCUUGUGUAAAUGUAUAAAUAUAAACAGUAUGUCCGGAAUUGGGUCAACAAAAAAAGGCUGAAACCGAAUUUCCCCCAACAUGUUCUGGUUAAAUAUAAGAAUCCAGCUGCAGAGCAGCGGAGAGUAUCCUCCUAGGUGGGUAAAAGUUGGGUAGAACUGCCGCUGGAGGAGUGUAUCACGGCGCUGAUGGUCUGGGUCGUGCGGAGGGUCCUUUUCCUUUGUCAUCUUUGUAACUUUCCAGUGGUUUACUAAGGGCUCGUAAGUACAAGGCAGACAAACUUCACAGGAAUAAGAUUUUUAAAGAUGAAGGAACAGCAGGAAGGGAGACAGGCAAACAAAAAGGAUGCGCGCAACGUGGAGCUGGAACCUACAACUGUGAGAUUAAGAGCCUCAUGCUCCACCAACUAAGCUAGCCGGGCAGCUGCUUAGAGAUUUGUGGAGGGCUCUCAGGUCAGAAAUCUAAAGCCAUGAAGUUCUGACAAAGAAAGCAGGGAUCCCAGUCAGGAGCAAUGGUGAGAGGGGUUGAAACAGGGAAGGACGCCGCCCUCGCUUUCUUUCCGGAAGACGAAUUCGCCAUUGCAGAGUACGCAUGGUGUCCCCUGUCUACUCUCCCCCCGCCCCAUUCAGCAUCACAAACACAUUCUUUGCGACUAAUUAUCCAUGCUUUUCUGUUAAAAGACUUAAAGGGCUCACCCGGGGUCUGAACCCCAAACCUCUCUCACGCCAGGGGAGAAGCAUACCCCUACACCAACGAGAGCAAGGAGCCGUUGUCCAGUCUCUGUAAGCGCCACACGCACUGUGCGCAGUCUCUGCCAGGUCCGGAGAUUGCUCCGUGGAGGGUGAGGUUUGAACGAGAACGUGGGCCGAAUAUGGACUUCCACGGGCCGUGAAGAGGGCUGGGAUGCGGCCGGCAUGUUAUGCAGAAACCACUGGGAAAAAGACCAGAUAAGAUAAGACCAGCCAUUUUUUUUUUUGCGGCAACCCCGGUGGCCUAGUGGAUGAAGCUUUGGCUUCCUAAACCGGGGUUUGUUGGUUCGAGUCCUACGCGCGGUAGAGAGUAGUUGAUUUGAGGCCUUUUUUUUUUUUUUUUUUUUAACGAAUGGAACAAAGUUUAGUGAAAUUCAAUUGGGGCACACAAGUCACGGUAUCUGAAUCGAGCAAAAGGGGAUUCUGCCCCAGGCAGAUGUCGUGGCUUUCUUUAGUGCUUCCUAUUGGCAAAACCUAACAGGGAUCCAACUGGCAAAGCAGAGUACAGAAAGGGCGUGUAGCAAGCCCAGCCGAGAAGGCUUCUGAGGCCCAUGGGGUAAAAAGCACUUGUCCCGGGCGACGACCGGGCGCCCUCCAUUAGCCUGGGUAUGAAGAAGGUCUGGAGGGCGCCUCCGGACUGUGAUCCUCAGUGUCCUGGGUGCACCGGGACAACCGGCGCUGCGGGAACGGACCCCGAACCCCAGACCCAGGCUGAUCUGCACUGUCCACACGUCAUCCACUUGGAGAAUUCUGGGAACCAGAUUUCAGCGGCCAACUCCAAGAGGGAGCCAGGAGCCAAACCCGGGACCUGUCGCACCUGAAUCAAGAAUCACGCCCAUAGACCAGCCACAGGCUGCUGCUUUUGCCACCCUCCUCCCACCUCUUUGGAGCCAAGACUUUGCAUUCUCCAUUCUGGGACUUAGAGGCACGGGUCACCAAGGGCCUGGUGGUGAUGACGCCCCCUUCCCGGGGGUCUUCUCUUUCAGCUGUGCGAGGGUAGCAGGACGGAGAAACCGUGGAGAUAGAGGUGGAGGUCCUUGGGGACUGGUUAGAUUUAGGGGAGUGUCAGGACCGGCUACAUAGUUUACAAGGGCCAGUGCAAUGAAAACGCAGGGCCCUCAUUACAAUAUUAUUAAGAAUUUCAAGGCCGCGGCAGCAGAGCAUGAAACCAAGUGUAGUUGUUAUUAUUGUUAGUUCCUGUGGAGUCGGCUCAUAUUCAUGAUCGUAGAUAUGUUUGAGUCAAUUGUUGUGGCCAUUGUGUCAAUACAUCUCGACCUGUGUGACUGUGUCCGAGUUGCCUGCCCAUGAAGCCGGCUCUGGUGAAGAAGUCUCCUUUUUCCAGUUGGACCGCAGGGGGCAAGUCGGCAGCCUUGAGGGAGCCGAGUCACCCCAAGCACUGUGGCAAGGCUCCCUGGGGCGGCCCCACGCUGGGGACCCACCUUCUCUCCUUUCCCCUCUGGAGGGCCCAGCCUGGCUCCCCCCGCCUCAGCAGGUAGCCCCGCUCCUCCUGCCCCUGCGCUCGCAGGGCUUCAAACGUGCUGGGAUCCGAGAGCUGCUGCGAAAAGAACCUGUCCCGCCUCCCGCCUGUGGAAUCGAGGCCUUGUGUAUCGGGCCUGGGAGAGGUAAAUUCAGCUAAGGGCCGGGACUGUGCUAUCCGGACCCUAGAGUCACUUUCCCCCAUGGUAGGGGAGUCUCAGGUCUAACACCACAGUUGCCGGGCUAGCUCAGUCGGUAGAACAUGAGACUGUAAAUCUCAGGAUCGUGAGUUUUAGGCCCACUUUGGACGUUGUGUUUUAUGGUCCAAACCAUGACUUCCGUAAAAGAAUCAAGUUUGCAAGCUUUUGUCACGGCCCCCUGACGUUUCCCUAGCACUGACCCUUACUGAGUGUUGGGUCAGAACUGCAGGGAGCCCUGAGGGGAUCGUCGCCCCCUCUAUGGCACCUUGAGUAUUAACAGGGAGAACCAGACUACUGGAAUCCGCGCUUCCUUCUGCCUCUACCAACCCUGGAACCGGUCGCAUGAAAUUGGACUGCCUCCUCUUGGCAGAACUGGAGCCCGUAAGCACCAAGGUUUCCAUGAUGCCUGGGCCCCCUCCUCCCUGCUCCCCAGGCACAAGCCACAGCCCCCACCGCCGUCACAGCCCCAGGCCCAGGCUCCCCCCAGGGAGUGGCUGUUCCGCCUCCAAGGUGACCUCCUAGCUCACACAGGCCCCUCGUGCACCCCCCUUUCCCUUUCUGUUCCCCACUCCUGUGUGGCAGGAAUCAACCGCGUCGGCUCAGCGGAAUCUUCUUCCGGCGACUGCGCGGUUCUGUCCCCUUCCCAGCUUCCCCCUUUCCUCCUGAACUCCGUCCCCAGGGUCUCCCGGCUGCGACCACAGAUCUCUGCCCGGUAAGUGGCUGGAAGAAGGGACUCUGCCAACUGCAGAAUGAAGAUGAGUCUGCGAGCACCUGGAGGGAGGAAGUGAAAUAUUGCCUCCGUGGCUCGUUGGUCUAGGGGUAUGAUUCUCGCUUCGGGUGCGAGAGGUCCCGGGUUCAAAUCCCGGACGAGCCCUCGUUCGGUUCACUUUUACAGUCUUUGUUUUAGACAGCGGAUGUGCAGAGUUCCAGGGGAGACCCGGCGGGAGCCGCUCAGAGCCAGUGUCUGUGGCUUCUCCGCGGUGGAUAAGCUCCGAGCGCGGUCCUGGCCGCAUCCCGGGUGAUGCUCCCUUGCGAGGGACGGUACGACGCCCUGACGUUGUCUGGGCUCUCGCCCUCUCCUUACCACCCAACUCCCAGCAGCUGUCCUCGGGGUUGGCCAGGACUCGACUUAAACCUGAAAAGAACCGGCAAAAUAUACGUCGCAGCUGCCACUUUAGCCCAGGCGGUACCGUAGGAGACUCUUCAUCUUGGAGUUAUCGCUUCAAGUUCUGUGUUUUGAUUGGUCAAUCUGCAGGAGUCAACAAAGCCUCUAGUUUCUUGUUCUCUGCCUGGUGUCUUUCUUCCCUGCCACAUUUAGGACUAUAACCUACCAUGAAUUGCUUUCUUUGUAUGGUGUGAGGUAGCGUUCAAGACUUAUUUUUUCUGAUCCAGAUCUAUUUAUUUAAAAGAUCAAUCACCCUCUCCCCCACUGCUCUGCAGUGCACAUCUUUUCACAAAUCAAGAGUCUAAAUACAUAUGAUUCUAUUUCUGGGCAACUUUUUCCCGUAGUCUCUUUGUCUACCCUUGCAUCAAAACCAAUUUAGCUUUAUGAUAAAAUUUGACAUCCAGGAAUGUACAAACUCUCUAAAAUUGUUAGUUAUUGUCCAUCCUUUUAUUUCCAUAUGAGAUUCAGUUUGUCAAUUUACACAAAUAGCAACUGGGAUUUUGAUUGGAAUUUUUCUAUAGGUCAGUUUGGAGUGAUUUGACAUCAUUACAAUAUGGAAUCUUUCAAUUUAUGAACAUGCUAUAACCCUCAAAUUAUUAAGAUCUUUUUAAAAAAUAUUUUUCUCAGAUAGGAUUUGAAUCUUUCAUUAGAAUUUUUCCAGGUAUUUGAUAUUUUGGAUGCUAAUGUAAAUUAUGUUUGAAUAUAAUUUUUGCAGAUAUAUACAAAUGCAAUUAAUUUUUGCAUAUAGACCUUGGAUUCAGUGACCUUGGAAAUUCAUUAAUUUUUUUCUAAUCUAUAUAUUUUUCUACAUAUUCGGGCAUGUCAUCUGUGCAUAAUGGCAGUACUUAAUUGUUAAUUAUUUAAUGAUUUUUGAUCCUUAUUUAUACCUGUUAAUUAUUUUUCUUGCCUUAUUACUCUAACUAGGACUCCCAGUAAAAUGUUAAAUAGAAGUGUGGUAGAGGAUAUUCUUACUUAGUUCUAGAAUUCAGGGGGAGAAGCUUUCAAAGUUCUACCAUUAAAUAUGAUAUUUGUUGUCAUUAAAAAAAGUUACCAUUUAUCAGUUACUAUUUUUGUUCUUUUUUUUAUUGCUAUGUAGGAAACCCUGGUGGAGUAGUGGUUAAGAGCUCCUUGGAAACCCUAUGAAGCAGUUCUAUUCUGUCCUGUAGGGUUGCUAUAGGGUCGCUAUGGGUUGGAAUCAACUCAACAGCAACAGGCUUUUUUUUGGUUUUAUGAGUCGGAAUUGACUAGAUGGCAAUGGGUUUGGUUUUGAUUUGCUGCAUGUCAGAAACCCUGGUUGCAUAGUGGUUAGGAGCUACGGCUGUUAACCAAUAGCUUAGCAGUUCAGAUCCACCAGGUGCUCCUCCAGAACUCUUAUGGGGCAGUUCUACCCUGUCCUAUAGGGUGGCUAUGAAUUGGAAUCAACUGGGCGGCAAUGGGUUUCUUGUUUUUAUUUUUUUGGUUAUUGCUAUGUAACAAACAUCCCCAAAUUUAGUGUCAUGAGACAACUAUUGUAUUAUGCUCAUGGAUUCUGUGUGUCAGGAAUUAAAGGAAGAACAGCAGGUUUAACUUGUAUCUGUCAAGUCUGGGGCUCGGCUGGGAAGAGUUGAAGGCUGAGGGCAGCUAGAGGGCUGGGAGCCAGAUGCAUGUGGAGGCCCCUUUACUCACCUGUCUGUCAUGUGGACUGAGGGGAAUCAAAAGCUGAGCUCAGCUGGACUGCGUGGAGGCUUAAAAAAACCGAUUCCUACUAGUGGCAACCCUAAAGGACAGAGUAAGACCAGCCCAUAGGGUUUCCAAGGAAGAGGCUGGUGGAUUCAAACUGCUGACCUUCUGGUAAUCAGCCAAGCUCUUAAUCACCGCCACCAGGGCUCCUAUAUGAACAGGAAAUAUUGCUGGUUUAUCCAGUUAUCCAGCAGAACUAAACACUUCACCUGAAAAUCUGACUAAGGCUGUGAACUGGAAAACCACAUUCCAGGAUUCAGAGGUGCCCAUGCUAACAACUGUACUAUGGGGUUUUUGGAAUGACCUGUGAAUCAGUAGGAGAACACUCAAAUAGUAACAUUACGGUGGCUCCUUGGUCUAGGGGUAUGAUUCUAGCUUUGGGUGAGAGAGGUCCCUGGUUCAAAUCCCGGAUAAGCCCUGGUUUUCCUCCCUUCUUUAGGCAGACAUUUUCACCUUUUCAGCCACAGAGGGGAGACCCAGGAGGUGGAAGGCAGACCCAGAAUGUGGAAGGUUCCAGCUGACACAGCCGUCGGGGGAUCCCCAGGGUCUGGAGACUCCAAGAGGUGGGAUUAGCUAGCCUGCCCUGGCAAUCAGGUCACGGUCCCAAAAGAUCACGCAGCAAGAAUGGGGAGCGAAUCCCUAACCCAUAACCUAGAGCUGGGAUCCUGGGUCGGGGAAGGUUAUUUAGAAUAAGGACAUGCGCAGGUCACGCUGGUUGAUUGGUUGUUGCCCAAGUGCUGUAAUUCUUGCGCGGGCCCCAGAGGUUCACCUGUCAGGUCGCGAUGAGCCCUACUAGUACUUCAGAUCGCAUUUUAGCUGAAAGCGGAGGGCGGGGCUGCUUGGCUUCCCCGGGCAGAACUUCAGUGGGCGCUCCUGGCUGGUCGGCGUCCGCGGAAAUUCGCAAGAGCCCGGGAGAUGGCGGGGAGAGGAAAGGUCGGGCUCCGCAGGGCUGGGGACGCGUUCAUCACACCUGCUGGAUUCUUAGGGAUCGGAUCACACUUGGACACUUGGAAGGACAGACCAACAGCAGAGCGUACCCUGAACCUGACUCCGACUUCUGGGCCCAUGAACCCCCGGACAAAACCCCCGCUGUUUCGCAGGCCGCGUCCUCUGCCCUCCCCACGCCCUGGGGGGCGGAAGCAGCUGUCCCUACUAGGCACCUGGGUGGAGAGAGGGCAUUGCUGACCCGCCCCCAGCACCGGGACUGCUGAGAGCCUGAUCCGCUUCUCCCAGGGGUCGCAGCUCCGGCCCCUGGACUUCUCCGCGCACCUGAGGGCCCAGUUGGCGCUGCCCUCCUGGUUCACUCCUGGGGCAGAGAUCUAGGUUCAGCCGAGUCUUGACCGCUGGACAUUGAAACUGACCCUGUCGAAGGUGAUCUUUAAGAAAGGCCUCAGAAACCCAGACCUACUGGACUGGCUGAGACUGGGAGACUCCUGGACACUAUCACCCUGAGGUACUCUUCAAACCUUGGAAGGAAACUAACCCCUGAGGUCACCUUGUAGCUAAAUAACAAAUUGGUGUAAAAAAUAAUGAGUACUGUGAGUGCUCGUGAGUACCGUGAGUACUGUGCUCCUCCAGGGUUACCUCACAGAGCAAUAAACAGAUACAGAGACCUAAGACACGAACACUGGGUUCCACUAACUUGGGAAGGUUGAAAAAUCUAAUCAUUUGAAGAAUAGUGGAUGUGUUGUUGUUCUGAGGCUAUGAUUCCAUAUGGUUAUACCCCUCCAUACCCCACCAGCUAAAUAAGGUCAAGCAAUGGCUUCAGGAGAGGGCAUGCCAUAAAAUCGUGCCAGAGAAUAUCAAGCGUUUGUUAAUAAACCUAAUAUACACAGUAAAACUUGUGAGAGCUGGAACUC
Loxodonta africana (African savanna elephant) is the source of this 8156-nucleotide long non-coding RNA. RefSeq lists it as uncharacterized. The record is from RefSeq and is a predicted model, not a curated record. NCBI's taxonomy places the organism in Eukaryota, Metazoa, Chordata, Mammalia, Proboscidea, Elephantidae. The transcript is spliced from 6 exons.